UUGUGUGGGAGGAGGGAAGAUCUCCUCACCAUCUAAUGCAAUGGUUUGCAUCAUCUUGAUUUGUUUGGAUUGCGUCACCCAGAAUUCCUGAUGGUCUGCAUUCCACACGUGGGAUGUGGCAAACCGCCUACUUCUUUUAAUUCCAGAAAUUGUUCGAUGAAGUUUUGGCAUGUCACAAAACAGAAAGAAUAUCAAGUAAAUCUUGUUCAUCACUUGUGCUCAGUAAAGUUGAAGAAAAAUGAUUGAGACAUCAAAGGACAAUAAACUAUCAGAUGGCAUGUUCUUCAGUGAAGUCUUCCCAUACAGUCUCCAGACAGUUGGAGUUGAUCCUAUCAUAAAGUUCCCAUGAAACAAUUAAACUCACCCUGCUU
Chinchilla lanigera (long-tailed chinchilla) is the source of this 371-nucleotide long non-coding RNA. RefSeq lists it as uncharacterized. The transcript is spliced from 3 exons. NCBI's taxonomy places the organism in Eukaryota, Metazoa, Chordata, Mammalia, Rodentia, Chinchillidae. The record is from RefSeq and is a predicted model, not a curated record.